RNAcentral lists this ribosomal RNA (253 nucleotides) under uncultured bacterium. RNAcentral's name for it is "partial 16S ribosomal RNA". It matches the Rfam family "Bacterial small subunit ribosomal RNA", at positions 524 to 776 of the family's 1533-position model. The record is from RNAcentral.
UACGAAGGGUGCAAGCGUUAGUCGGAAUUACUAGGCGUAAAGCGUGCGUAGGCGGUCUCUUACGUCCGUUGUGAAAGCCCUGGGCUCAACCUGGGAACUGCAGUGGAUACUGAGAAGCUAGAGUGUGUCAGAGGAUGGUGGAAUUCCCGGUGUAGCGGUGAAAUGCGUAGAGAUCGGGAGGAACAUCAGUGGCGAAGGCGGCCAUCUGGGACAACACUGACGCUGAGGCACGAAAGCGUGGGGAGCAAACAGG